Molecule: ribosomal RNA, 555 nt
Filed under: Escherichia coli
Lineage: Bacteria; Pseudomonadati; Pseudomonadota; Gammaproteobacteria; Enterobacterales; Enterobacteriaceae
Description: partial 23S ribosomal RNA
Rfam family: Bacterial large subunit ribosomal RNA
Source: RNAcentral
GGGUUGUGAGGUUAAGCGACUAAGCGUACACGGUGGAUGCCCUGGCAGUCAGAGGCGAUGAAGGACGUGCUAAUCUGCGAUAAGCGUCGGUAAGGUGAUAUGAACCGUUAUACCCGGCGAUUUCCGAAUGGGGAAACCCAGUGUGAUUCGUCACACUAUCAUUAACUGAAUCCAUAGGUUAAUGAGGCGAACCGGGGGAACUGAAACAUCUAAGUACCCCGAGGAAAAGAAAUCAACCGAGAUUCCCCCAGUAGCGGCGAGCGAACGGGGAGGAGCCCAGAGCCUGAAUCAGUUUGUGUGUUAGUGGAAGCGUCUGGAAAGGCGCGCGAUACAGGGUGACAGCCCCGUACACAAAAAUGCACAUGCUGUGAGCUCGAUGAGUAGGGCGGGACACGUGGUAUCCUGUCUGAAUAUGGGGGGACCAUCCUCCAAGGCUAAAUACUCCUGACUGACCGAUAGUGAACCAGUACCGUGAGGGAAAGGCGAAAAGAACCCCGGCGAGGGGAGUGAAAAAGAACCUGAAACCGUGUACGUACAAGCAGUGGGAGCACGCUU